AAGAAUGAAGAAGACAAUGAGGAAUUGUAAGUUCCGGUGAUGUGAAAAACUCAGGUGAAGAAGACGAGUUGAAAAAUUUUGGCUCUAUUUACAUGGAAUAUUGCAGCCGACGU
Molecule: small nucleolar RNA, 113 nt
Organism: Arabidopsis thaliana (thale cress)
Lineage: Eukaryota; Viridiplantae; Streptophyta; Magnoliopsida; Brassicales; Brassicaceae
Rfam family: Small nucleolar RNA snoR9
About the family: snoR9 is a member of the C/D class of snoRNA which contain the C (UGAUGA) and D (CUGA) box motifs.
Source: Rfam